GACGAACCGUGCGAACGUUGUUCGGAAUCACUGGGCUUAAAGGGCGCGUAGGCGGGCGUCCGAGUCAGGGGUGAAAGCCCCCGGCCCAACCGGGGAAGUGCCCCUGAUACCGCACGCCUGGAGGGAGGUAGGGGUCGCCGGAACUUCCGGUGGAGCGGUGAAAUGCGUAGAUAUCGGAAGGAACGCCGGUGGCGAAAGCGGGCGACUGGACCUCUGCUGACGCUGAGGCGCGAAAGCCAGGGGAGCGAACGGGAUUAGAAACCCCCGUAGUCC
This 273-nucleotide ribosomal RNA is filed under the name uncultured bacterium. RNAcentral describes it as "partial 16S ribosomal RNA". It matches the Rfam family "Bacterial small subunit ribosomal RNA", at positions 524 to 796 of the family's 1533-position model. The record is from RNAcentral.